Molecule: ribosomal RNA, 800 nt
Filed under: Macrococcoides caseolyticum
Lineage: Bacteria; Bacillati; Bacillota; Bacilli; Caryophanales; Staphylococcaceae
Description: bacterial SSU rRNA
Rfam family: Bacterial small subunit ribosomal RNA
Source: RNAcentral
UGCAGUCGAGCGAACGGACGAGAGUGCUUGCACUCUCUGAUGUUAGCGGCGGACGGGUGAGUAACACGUGGGUAACCUACCUAUAAGACUGGGAUAACUUCGGGAAACCGGAGCUAAUACCGGAUAAUAUUUAGCUUCGCAUGAAGCAAUAGUGAAAGACGGUUCUGCUGUCACUUAUAGAUGGACCCGCGGUGUAUUAGCUAGUUGGUGAGGUAACGGCUCACCAAGGCAACGAUACAUAGCCGACCUGAGAGGGUGAUCGGCCACACUGGGACUGAGACACGGCCCAGACUCCUACGGGAGGCAGCAGUAGGGAAUCUUCCGCAAUGGACGAAAGUCUGACGGAGCAACGCCGCGUGAGUGAAGAAGGUUUUCGGAUCGUAAAACUCUGUUGUAAGGGAAGAACAAGUACGUUAGUAACUGAACGUACCUUGACGGUACCUUACCAGAAAGCCACGGCUAACUACGUGCCAGCAGCCGCGGUAAUACGUAGGUGGCAAGCGUUAUCCGGAAUUAUUGGGCGUAAAGCGCGCGUAGGCGGUCUCUUAAGUCUGAUGUGAAAGCCCCCGGCUCAACCGGGGAGGGUCAUUGGAAACUGGGAGACUUGAGUGCAGAAGAGGAGAGUGGAAUUCCAUGUGUAGCGGUGAAAUGCGCAGAGAUAUGGAGGAACACCAGUGGCGAAGGCGGCUCUCUGGUCUGUAACUGACGCUGAGGUGCGAAAGCGUGGGGAUCAAACAGGAUUAGAUACCCUGGUAGUCCACGCCGUAAACGAUGAGUGCUAAGUGUUGGGGGGUUUCCGC